Molecule: ribosomal RNA, 453 nt
Filed under: uncultured Porphyromonadaceae bacterium
Lineage: Bacteria; Pseudomonadati; Bacteroidota; Bacteroidia; Bacteroidales; Porphyromonadaceae
Also listed under: 1 other name
Description: partial 16S ribosomal RNA
Rfam family: Bacterial small subunit ribosomal RNA
Source: RNAcentral
ACGGGAGGCAGCAGUGAGGAAUAUUGGUCAAUGGACGGAAGUCUGAACCAGCCAAGUCGCGUGAAGGAUGAAGGUUCUAUGGAUUGUAAACUUCUUUUGCCAGAGGGUAAAAAGCGGGACGUGUCCCGCCUUGCAAGUAUCUGGUGAAUAAGCAUCGGCUAACUCCGUGCCAGCAGCCGCGGUAAUACGGAGGAUGCGAGCGUUAUCCGGAUUUAUUGGGUUUAAAGGGUGCGUAGGCGGAAUGUUAAGUCAGUGGUUAAAUCUUGCGGCUCAACCGUAAGUUGCCGUUGAAACUGGCGUUCUUGAGUGUAAACGAGGUAGGCGGAAUAUGACAUGUAGCGGUGAAAUGCUUAGAUAUGUCAUAGAACUCCGAUUGCGAAGGCAGCUUACCAGCAUACAACUGACGCUGAGGCACGAAAGCGUGGGUAUCAAACAGGAUUAGAUACCCUGGUA